Molecule: microRNA precursor, 230 nt
Filed under: Oryza sativa (Asian cultivated rice)
Lineage: Eukaryota; Viridiplantae; Streptophyta; Magnoliopsida; Poales; Poaceae
Description: partial microRNA MIR433n precursor
Rfam family: MIR812 microRNA precursor family
Source: RNAcentral
CAAAAUAAGUGCAGCCGUGGAUAUCCGUGCCUAACGUUUGACCGUCCGUUUUAUUUGAAAAAUUUGUGAAAAAUUUAAAAAUAUUUAGUCACACAUAAAGUAUUAUUCAUGUUUUAUCAUCUAAUAGCAAUAAAAAUACUAAUCAUAAAAAAAUUUCAAAUAAAACAAACAGUUAAACAUUUAAUGUGAAUAGUGCAAAACUGCACUUAUUUUGGGACGGAGGGAGUAGA